Molecule: ribosomal RNA, 465 nt
Filed under: uncultured Klebsiella sp.
Lineage: Bacteria; Pseudomonadati; Pseudomonadota; Gammaproteobacteria; Enterobacterales; Enterobacteriaceae
Description: bacterial SSU rRNA
Rfam family: Bacterial small subunit ribosomal RNA
Source: RNAcentral
CCUACGGGGGGCUGCAGUGGGGAAUAUUGCACAAUGGGCGCAAGCCUGAUGCAGCCAUGCCGCGUGUGUGAAGAAGGCCUUCGGGUUGUAAAGCACUUUCAGCGGGGAGGAAGGCGUUAAGGUUAAUAACCUUGGCGAUUGACGUUACCCGCAGGAGAAGCACCGGCUAACUCCGUGCCAGCAGCCGCGGUAAUACGGAGGGUGCAAGCGUUAAUCGGAAUUACUGGGCGUAAAGCGCACGCAGGCGGUCUGUCAAGUCGGAUGUGAAAUCCCCGGGCUCAACCUGGGAACUGCAUUCGAAACUGGCAGGCUAGAGUCUUGUAGAGGGGGGUAGAAUUCCAGGUGUAGCGGUGAAAUGCGUAGAGAUCUGGAGGAAUACCGGUGGCGAAGGCGGCCCCCUGGACAAAGACUGACGCUCAGGUGCGAAAGCGUGGGGAGCAAACAGGAUUAGAUACCCUUGUAGUC